Cynoglossus semilaevis (tongue sole) is the source of this 3712-nucleotide long non-coding RNA. RefSeq lists it as uncharacterized. The transcript has 2 exons. The record is from RefSeq and is a predicted model, not a curated record. NCBI's taxonomy places the organism in Eukaryota, Metazoa, Chordata, Actinopteri, Pleuronectiformes, Cynoglossidae.
UUUUAUAUGAAAUGUGCUUUGAAUAGUCUGGUCCUUCAGUAGUCCGUGUGUUCAAACCGGGAAGAACCGGUGCCGUGUGAUUAGCGCUGUAUAAACACCGGUAGGUAUAGUAGAUAUGCUACCGUAACACCUGCAGUAGAGGGGCGUUUACCGUAUAUGAUCACUUACACUCACAGACACUUCUUUGUGAGCCGUUUUAAUACGUAACCCACCAAAGUUAGAAAUCUAAUCUAAUCAAAAGGAAUUUUACUCCUGUGCCUUCCUCAUUCAGAGUGUUAAUUUACUAUCUGUUGCCUUCAAUGUAGCAUUAGAGCUAAUUCCAAACCCUGUGUUGGAACAGAUUUGAGUAAAAAGUAAAUGUCACUUCCGCACACAGUUAAACCUGGAAGGUAAAUGACACCCUUGUCUGGGGCAUUAGGGAGGGGUGUCACACUGUAGUGGUGCUACGAGUUUUCUAUUUAGCCCUGCAGAAGAAGAGGAACUUUAAGUUACACCCAAAGCUGGUCAGUUCAGUAUCAUGACAUGCCACAUCACAUCACAAGCCACAAUAAGCGGCAACUACCUGACCUGAAUUUUGGCUUUGAGUAAAUUUACAUCUGCAGCCGCCUGACAGAACCUGACCACAUUUGUCAGCAGCUCUCAGCAGAACAGCAGGAACUGCUGAAACUUUAGGACCUGCGCUGUGUCCGAGGCUGCAGAGAACAAAAGAAUCCAGGAGGGAACAGGCGCAGGGAGAACAUGGUAUCAGGUACUUUAUCUGCCGCUCUCCUGUCUCUCCGCAAGAGGAGGUGUGAAAGGAUCAGCUGCAUACCAGGUAUUUUGCAGUGAUCAGGUGGUUUACAUGCAAAAGUGUCUCUAUGGUGAAGGUGUUCAGCUGUGGCCUGUGUCAAAUGUAUGAAUGGCAUGUAAAACCCUUCCCUAAUGUGUUUUGUACUGUGGUGUUUCACACAAAACAACAAACACAUUUACAGAGUCACCGCCUCACACUCCACUGCACAGACGCACAGUCGAGAACGUGAGACGGGAACCUGAAAAACAUGAAAGAGGAAAUUGUCUUUUCUUACCUUCAAAGUUGGCAGAAAACUCCUAGGAUUAAGAUGGAACUUUGUGCAGGUUUCAGUCCAUGGGAGUGGAGAGGAAGGAGAGAGGGCUCCACUCAGGAAGGGACCUCCUCUCUGUCUGACCUCCUACUGCUGUUCUCUGCUCCCUGCUGGCUCCUCCUUUUUCUCUCUGUCUUUCUUCCACUUUUUGACUGGUUCUCUACAGUUAACUCACAUCCAGCUGAGGAGGAGCGUGGGGUUUACUGCAUUUCUAAUGUGUUAGGUAAACAGGUAAAGUUUUUGAUUGUGUCAUUUGUGUUGUUGCUGUUGCCAUGUUUUACAGCAGUGGUACAGCAGGAGCGUGCACUGGUAUUUAGAGGCUACAAAAACACACUUGUACCCAGUGUUGUAACUAAAUAUGCUGCUGAAUGGUCUUCAGCAGAGGUCUUCAACAGGAGGCCCGUUAGCCCCAAGAGGUCCAUGAAGGCACUGCAGCAGGGUCGAAAAAUGUUUGGUUACCUAAAAUAGAAAAUAUGAACCUGUGUAUUAUUUGAAUAGAUUAGGGCUGAAUGCAAAAUACCAUGGUAAAUUGAUGCAUGACACUAAGCCUAGUUAUAUACAAUUCAAAAAUGUCCUAUUUCCUCAAAAUAGCCUCUUCUCAUCUCAUCAGUUUUUGGCAUGUAAAUCAUUGACAACCCCUGCACGUAAAAUGAUUAACAAAAAAUUGCUUUCUAUAGUGUUGUUUAUAUUUAGUGUCUUUUUUGUGAUAGUCUGUUUUGUAGUUCACUUUUCAACUUUUGGUAAAGGUUGUGCAGUGAGGCUGAAUUCCUUGCACCUUAGCAGCCAUUGGGUGAGUGGACUGUUCACUAGUCCAUCACAGGCCCCAGUGACAAGCACCCAUUCACACUCCCAUUCACACUAACAUUCACCCCUACGGUCAACUUACAGUUCCAAUUACAGAAACACAAUUCAAUUCAACUCCAUAAAAUUCUACUCUUAAUACAACUGUGAAUCGAACCAAUUACUUUCUUGUAAGGCAAACACACCUGACUACACUGUAUAAUAACCCUACAGUGAACAACAGAUAAAUCCACUGGUGUAGUGCAGAACUACGGCAGCACUGGACUGAUGAUAGAAGUUGUAAAUGACAGAAGUUUGCAUACUGCAACCUUUGCCUCUGCAACCCACUGACACGCUGCUGCACACGAUCACGAUAACAUCAAGAGGAAGUUACAGGACUUUAUGAUGACAUUCAACCAAUGACAGUACUUGUGUCUUUCUGGACAGGAAGGAGCAGUUUCACCCACAGACUAUACACAGUUUACUGUGAACAGGCGGCGGAGGAUAAACUGUUGAUGUGUCAGUAGGAAGGAGAGAUGAGUCACACAUGACUGAGGCUACUGCACAUGUUGGCUACAGAGCUAAGCCAGGGCUUGAACAUCUGCACCUACUGGUUUUUACAGCACCUGAGGCUGUCACACAGUCAGCCAGUACGGGGGUGCCGUCUUAACACAGCUGUUUAAACCUGCAUGGUAAAGCGUUAGCACAAAAACUAAGACUGCGUGGAUGCUGCUCAGUUCAGUCUCGAUGGACACUCAGGGUCAAAAAGUCUCCAUCAGGAGUUGGCAGGUCCUUUCAUGUUUGUAUCUUUUAUAUCAAUAGCUGUCCUACAGCAGUUUGGUCAGCGAGCCCUUUCUAAAUUGUUUCAUAAAUAAAGUAAGUCACAGUAAAUAUUUACAGUAAGCUAGUGUUUGCUGAAGUUCCAUCAUUCUGAAAGGAAAAACAAACUCAGUGUCUCAUCCUUGGCCCCAACAACCAAGGACAAUGAUUCUUAAACACGGGGCGACUGUAUAAAAGACAUAUACGUAUAAGACCAUCAUCACAUCUUUACUGUGUUGUACACAGUAACCAUACUGGGCAUCACUGACAUAACUUUACCAACACUGUAUCCCAGUGUUGAAUGUCAAACAGCUUUCACCUAUGUAUUUACCUGGUUCUGCUGCAAAUGUUAAUGAGUUUGUCCUCUGGUCACACCUCACACGUCCACACAAGGCCACUGUCUUUUCUUUCACUGCAUAAUUUGCAGGGAGACAGAGAAAAAGAAAAGUGCAGGUACCUGCAAAUAAGUGUUGAGCUGAUUAACACAGAAUGAAUGACACUGGCGGUGGUUAUUACACCAGGGUGCAGUUAAAGUACAGUUAAAACACAUACAUAUGACUAAUGGAAAAAUGAGCUCAUUAUAAUAAUAAUUAACAUUAUUUCCAGCAGUGUGUCUCUACAUGGACUCCAGCAGUAACCUCACAGUGAAUGUCUGCUCUACAGAGUCAAUAAGUGGACUUCCUGCACAAAGAUUCCUGACUGAGUGGAACCUGGCUCCUGUCCAUGGACCGCAGACAGCUGUUGAAAAAAAAAAAAAAAAAAGCAAAACAUUUAAAAAUAAAAGGUGUGUCUUUCCCCGUGUAAAACCAUAACGUUUUCAUUUUGAAAUAAAACUCACAAGAGGAAAGAGUUUCAAAGUUUUACUGAAGAACUGACAAAAGGAAAUGUACAGUAAAGGGAAGAACAGUAGAAAAACUCAAGUCAGAACUUCUCCUCACACAGACCUACACCUUCAGCGUCUCCGUGUCUGCCCCGCUCUCACCUGUCAAUCAAAUAAAUACUAUGACAAUAAA